CGAAUUGGCAGCAUGUGAGAGCGAAUCUCGGGGAUGGGCCUGUGAGAUCCUUGCUUGCUUGCUGCAGGGACGACGAAGAGGACGGGAAAAGCCUAACGUUGGACCUUAAUCUAGUUUGGUACAAGGCCAGCUCGCAUCACCCACUUUCAAUAGGAGCAGCUCAAUGCCGGCGCCGAACGAGUUUCCUGAAUCCUUUCGUCCCCCUCGGACAUGAGAAUCCAGCGGCGAGAGAGCGUGACGACGACGCUCUUAUGCCAUAUCGGUGAUGCUUAUCCAACAUUACUAAUGAAUGAUGGCCUCAUAAAACGCUCGUAAGGCCCAACUUGCUUCUCAUUAAUGAGAUGAAGUAACAUGAUAAUAAUAAUAGUAACUGCAAUUGGAGGUUUUAACUUUGAUUAAUAUACACGAAAACUUGUAUGGUAUAAUCUUAUUGGGUAGGGGUGGUUCAAAGCACUAUAUGAUUGUGGAUCCUUUCGACACUCAAGAGUCUUUAUACGUGUCAGGUAAGGUGAAAGGUCACACAACUUUUGAAUAUUUUGAUUGGUUAAAAUUUAGUGAUUUUUCAACUUUAGACAAAUAAAGGAUUCAAAUAGUUGUUUCUUCUCACCUUGUCUCCUAGAUGUAAAGAUUAUGUCAAUUUUGA
This 643-nucleotide long non-coding RNA is filed under the name Physcomitrium patens. RNAcentral describes it as "long non-coding RNA (PPAT_LNC004159)". Lineage: Eukaryota; Viridiplantae; Streptophyta; Bryopsida; Funariales; Funariaceae. The record is from RNAcentral.